This 522-nucleotide ribosomal RNA is filed under the name uncultured Bacteroidota bacterium. RNAcentral describes it as "bacterial SSU rRNA". It matches the Rfam family "Bacterial small subunit ribosomal RNA", at positions 224 to 743 of the family's 1533-position model. The record is from RNAcentral. Lineage: Bacteria; Pseudomonadati; Bacteroidota.
GAUGAGCAUGCGUCCCAUUAGCUUGUUGGUAAGGUAACGGCUUACCAAGGCAACGAUGGGUAGGGGUCCUGAGAGGGAGAUCCCCCACACUGGUACUGAGACACGGACCAGACUCCUACGGGAGGCAGCAGUGAGGAAUAUUGGUCAAUGGGCGCAAGCCUGAACCAGCCAUGCCGCGUGCAGGAUGAAGCAUCUAUGGUGUGUAAACUGCUUUUGUACGAGAAGAAACACUCCUACGUGUAGGAGCUUGACGGUAUCGUAAGAAUAAGGACCGGCUAACUCCGUGCCAGCAGCCGCGGUAAUACGGAGGGUCCAAGCGUUAUCCGGAAUCAUUGGGUUUAAAGGGUCCGUAGGCGGUUUUGUAAGUCUGUGGUGAAAGCCCAUCGCUCAACGGUGGAACGGCCAUUGAUACUGCAAGACUUGAAUUAUUAGGAAGUAACUAGAAUAUGUAGUGUAGCGGUGAAAUGCUUAGAUAUUACAUGGAAUACCAAUUGCGAAGGCAGGUUACUACUAAUUGAUUGA